This 72-nucleotide transfer RNA is filed under the name bacterium BMS3Abin15. RNAcentral's name for it is "tRNA-Gln". It matches the Rfam family "tRNA". Rfam says of the family: Transfer RNA (tRNA) molecules are approximately 80 nucleotides in length. Their secondary structure includes four short double-helical elements and three loops (D, anti-codon, and T loops). Further hydrogen bonds mediate the characteristic L-shaped molecular structure. tRNAs have two regions of fundamental functional importance: the anti-codon, which is responsible for specific mRNA codon recognition, and the 3' end, to which the tRNAs corresponding amino acid is attached (by aminoacyl-tRNA synthetases). tRNAs cope with the degeneracy of the genetic code in two manners: having more than one tRNA (with a specific anti-codon) for a particular amino acid; and 'wobble' base-pairing, i.e. permitting non-standard base-pairing at the 3rd anti-codon position. The record is from RNAcentral.
UCCGGGAUCGUCUAGUGGUAGGACGGCAGGUUCUGGUCCUGUUAACCUAGGUUCGAAUCCUAGUCCCGGAAC